ACAGAACGAUGCUGACAUAGUGAACCAUCCAGCUUGAAGCAGCUCCAAGACAUCUAUAAGGUACAACAUAUAUGAAUCCAAUUUUUUGAUGGCCGAGGUUUCAAGCAGAUGUCUUGAAACUCCCCCUCUUCACCUCAAUUCGAUUUCAUCAGUAUAUGUAUGUAUUGAUCUGAUGUAUCUGAAGAUUGAAGAAACAUAUAUGGGCUUUGUCAGAGAUGAGUGUAUAACCCAGCUAAGUUGUCAAACAAGGGAAUCGAAGAUUGCCAAGUUCUCAAUCAAAAUUCGAUUUGGUUUCAGUCUGAUCACGACCCACUGCUGAAAAUCUUGCAAUCUUUGAUCAACAAAAGUUGGGACAUAAAAGGUUUUUUUAGGAUGGAAAUUAGUCUUCUGAUCAAAAGUACUUUUUGAUCAGGUUAUCAGGAUGGUUUGCUACCUAUGAAUGGAAUUAGAUGUAUACAAUAUGUGUACAUUUAAUUGUGAACCUUUAUUAUGACCGAUCAUAUCGGGGAGCAAAAUUUGAAGAGAUUAUUCAAUUUUGAGUCAUCAUAUGUGAUUGUUUAUAUGUUGCUGUGAGCAUAGAUUGAAGAUGCAUCGUCUCAACAUCAUAUCAUAUCUACCAUUGUUUUUCAUGCAAAUUCAUUCAAGAAGAUAAGUUUAAGAAUUCAAAAGACGAGAAAUCUUUGGUGCCCAAGUUAAAAGCACAUGAGUCACAAAAGCAGAUAAAGUAAUCCCCAACAAGUGAUCCCCAUGUAACUUGACCCAUAGUUUGAAGAUAGAAGAAGAUAAGACUACCUUACCUUAUCUCCAUUGCUUUUCAUUUAUUUUGGUUCAUAUAUUUUUAACGUGGUGCAUACGGCUAGACGGCUAGUAACACUUUUACAACCUAACAGUUUGAGCCGUUGAUAAGAACGCCAACUGCAAGGUUUGCCAUUAUUAUGUUGUCAAAUUAAAACCAUUGGGAAAACAUUAUAUUAUUAAUUAAUUGCCUAAUAAACUAGUUAGGGUAAAUUAUAUUAUAUUGUUGAUUUGCAGAAAAUUUUAAACUAGAAAAUAUUUACUUACAAAUCAAGUAUAAUAUAAUGGGAAUCAUUUUUAAACUUUGAAAUAUUAAUGCACCAAUGCAAACACUUAUAAUCUCAACAAUCUAACUUAAAACCUUCCAUUCUCAACUCCUAGCUAUAUAGUAACUUUUCAAAUUUCAACUAAAUUUCAUCAUUCAGCCAGGUGUAUGUGACACACAAAGUCUUUGUACUACAAAUCCUAUAUUUUUUUAAUCCCAAUUUAUUCAAAAUAUAAAAUAAAAUAAAAUAAAAAGAUUUUGCAUAGUGUUGAACAAAGUGACAUACAUUAUCCAAGGGUGUGCAUUGGCUAAACCAUGCAUUGUGACUCUAGUUGACAAAA
Molecule: long non-coding RNA, 1401 nt
Organism: Ipomoea triloba (trilobed morning glory)
Lineage: Eukaryota; Viridiplantae; Streptophyta; Magnoliopsida; Solanales; Convolvulaceae
Exons: 2
Source: RefSeq, a predicted model, not a curated record